GCUGCUAAGGUAGAGCUGAUGGAGGUGAGCACAUUUUAUCUUCAAGUUAUAUUGGAUAAUAAAUAUUUGCUCUUUAUUAUAUUGUUGAGACAUUGUUGCAUUGGUGGCUUAUUGAUGGAGUUGAUGAGAGGGAGGUGUGGCAUAUUAUAAGCUUUGAUGAAAAUGUUAUAUGCUUAUCAAAAGCUUGAAAUCUUCUGGCUUCAGCAAAUAACAGUUAUUACUUUUUUGGACUAAUAAUUGUGUAGACUACUUUUUGUUCUAUGAUUGUAGUCUUUGCCCUUUGGCUAAAGCUGGAAGGUGCAU
This 303-nucleotide unclassified non-coding RNA is filed under the name Hevea brasiliensis (rubber tree). The record is from RNAcentral. Lineage: Eukaryota; Viridiplantae; Streptophyta; Magnoliopsida; Malpighiales; Euphorbiaceae.